GACGAACGCUGGCGGCGUGCCUAAUACAUGCAAGUCGAGCGAAGUUUUUUGGUGCUUGCACUAGAAAAACUUAGCGGCGAACGGGUGAGUAACACGUAAAGAACCUGCCUCAUAGACUGGGACAACUAUUGGAAACGAUAGCUAAUACCGGAUAACAGCAUUAACUGCAUGGUUGAUGUUUGAAAGUUGGUUAUGCUAACACUAUGAGAUGGCUUUGCGGUGCAUUAGCUAGUUGGUGGGGUAAAGGCCCACCAAGGCGACGAUGCAUAGCCGACCUGAGAGGGUGAUCGGCCACACUGGGACUGAGACACGGCCCAGACUCCUACGGGAGGCAGCAGUAGGGAAUCUUCCGCAAUGGGCGAAAGCCUGACGGAGCAACGCCGCGUGAGUGAAGAAGGAUUUCGGUUCGUAAAGCUCUGUUGUUAGGGAAGAAUGGAUAUGUAGUAACUAUACAUUACGAGACGGACCUACCAGAAGCCCC
This 481-nucleotide ribosomal RNA is filed under the name Gemella morbillorum. RNAcentral describes it as "bacterial SSU rRNA". It matches the Rfam family "Bacterial small subunit ribosomal RNA", at positions 28 to 494 of the family's 1533-position model. The record is from RNAcentral. Lineage: Bacteria; Bacillati; Bacillota; Bacilli; Caryophanales; Gemellaceae.